GAUGAACGCUGGCGGCGUGCCUAAUACAUGCAAGUCGAGCGAACGGACGAGAAUUUUGCUUCUCUGAUGUUAGCGGCGGACGGGUGAGUAACACGUGGAUAACCUACCUAUAAGACUGGGAUAACUUCGGGAAACCGGAGCUAAUACCGGAUAAUAUUUUGAACCGCAUGGUUCAAAAGUGAAAGACGGUCUUGCUGUCACUUAUAGAUGGAUCCGCGCUGCAUUAGCUAGUUGGUAAGGUAACGGCUUACCAAGGCUACGAUGCAUAGCCGACCUGAGAGGGUGAUCGGCCACACUGGAACUGAGACACGGUCCAGACUCCUACGGGAGGCAGCAGUAGGGAAUCUUCCGCAAUGGGCGAAAGCCUGACGGAGCAACGCCGCGUGAGUGAUGAAGGUCUUCGGAUCGUAAAGCUCUGUUAUUAGGGAAGAACAUAUGUGUAAGUAACUGUGCACAUCUUGACGGUACCUAAUCAGAAAGCCACGGCUAACUCCGUG
This 497-nucleotide ribosomal RNA is filed under the name uncultured bacterium. Its description in RNAcentral is "partial 16S ribosomal RNA". It matches the Rfam family "Bacterial small subunit ribosomal RNA", at positions 28 to 507 of the family's 1533-position model. The record is from RNAcentral.